GAUCCGUUGGUCAAGAGGUUAAGACACCGCCCUUUCACGGCGGUAACACGGGUUCGAAUCCCGUACGGAUCA
RNAcentral lists this transfer RNA (72 nucleotides) under Tetragenococcus halophilus. Its description in RNAcentral is "tRNA-Glu". It matches the Rfam family "tRNA". From Rfam's summary of the family: Transfer RNA (tRNA) molecules are approximately 80 nucleotides in length. Their secondary structure includes four short double-helical elements and three loops (D, anti-codon, and T loops). Lineage: Bacteria; Bacillati; Bacillota; Bacilli; Lactobacillales; Enterococcaceae. RNAcentral also lists the same sequence under 4 other names. The record is from RNAcentral.